Molecule: unclassified non-coding RNA, 2935 nt
Filed under: Stylophora pistillata
Lineage: Eukaryota; Metazoa; Cnidaria; Anthozoa; Scleractinia; Pocilloporidae
Description: poly [ADP-ribose] polymerase 9-like, transcript variant X3
Source: RNAcentral
AUCGUGGGCGCAUUUCCUGUUCAGCGGAUCUUUUUCCUUAGCACUUUCGUUUCGGAAGGAGCCUUGAAGUUCUUUAUCUGGUGAUUGAACUGAAUAUAUCGCUCAUUGAUCUCAAAGAGAGAACCUUUCGCCGUCAAUACUGUAAGUGGAAAAGAGAGAAGAUGAAAACACGAGUGCACACGAGCUAACAGUAGUCACUGUUUUUUAAAAUGGAAAACGAAGUACCCAUUUCCGCUGUCAAUGUAUGUAUGGAUUCAGAGGAGCAACCUAAUGAAAACCACGAUUUCAAAAGGUAUAAACUGAGCCAAGUUUUGUCGAGUUUUGAGCAGAAGCUUAGAGAAAAAGGAACGUGCUUUGUAAAUGACGCACGGUUGACUUUAUUCCCAUGGACCCAAGCCUUGGUCAGUGUUGAAGAGAACUUAAACCACACGAGACUUGCUUUUAAGGAGAUGGAAGAAACUCUGAAGACUGAAAAUAGAAACAUGUGUGAAAUGCUCGCUAAUGAAAUAUGCUUGCGUAACCAGCGAGAACAGGAAUUUAGAGAAAAAGAAUCAAUGUUAGAGGAAACAAAGAAAACGUUGGAAAAGGAAAAAAUAUCAAGAAAUAAUGCAGAAGAAGAGUUAGAGGAAGCAAAAUCUGUUUCCAUGCUAAUGAAAAUAGAGAUGUGUGAAGCAAAGCGGAAGCUGAGGGAAACAGAAGGACUCUUGGACAAGCUAAGUCAAUCUUUGGCUGAAGAGGAGCGUCUGAGAACAGGAAUGGAAGAAGAAUUAAAACAAGAAACGCUUUCUUGUGCCGAGCUGAAGAAAAGAUUGGAAAUUGAGCGUCUGACUAAUCAGUCAUAUCAAGAAGUGGUCAGAACAAAGGAAGAGGCGUUUAAAGUUCAACUGCUUCAACUGAAACAAGAACAAAAGCAAAAGACAGCAUUAGAACGAACACUGAGUAGACUGGAAACUCAAAUGGAGGUGGAAAGAAACAGGUUAAUUCUCAACCAAACAGCCUUGUCUGCAGCUCAGGAGAAAUUAUCCGAAUACGAGCGGCGUCAACCGGGGACCAUUCCAAGAGGCGAAAUUGCUUUGGGGUUCCUUUUACCAACUUACUGGAUUUUACAACCAAAAGACUCACAGGACCUAGAAAAGACUGUACAUCUUGUUGAGCUGGAUCGUGCGAGUGGAACACAGGAAUACAAAAAUGUUCAGGACCGGUUCAGGAAAACCUGUCCUAACCAAAUUGUUAAGAUAGAGAGAGUUCAAAAUCCAGCCCUCUUCGGAAUGUAUAUGAUCCGAAAACAGAAGAUGGACAAGGCGAAGGGAAGCAACGAGCUGUGGUUAUUUCAUGGAACUGCGGGUAAUAAUUGCAAACUUAUAAAUCACGCAGGUUUCAACAGAAGUUUUUGUGGUAAAAAUGCAACCAUGUACGGAAAUGGCGUGUAUUUUGCUGAAGACGCCUCAUACUCAGCUCAGUCCAAGUAUUCACCAGCGGACGCGAGUGGUCAGCGAUACAUGUACCUGAGUAGAGUCUUGGUUGGUGAGUUUACACUAGGAAAACAAGGUCUUCUCACACCUCCAGCAAAGAAUCCAAAUGAUCUAACUGACACCUAUGAUAGCGUGGUUAAUAAGAUUCCCAACCCGAAAAUAUUUGUUGUGUUCUAUGACUGGCAGUGCUAUCCGGAGUACUUGAUUACCUUUCGCUGACUCGCACAGUGAUGCUUUUCUGGCUGUCUGUGUUAUGAUAACACACAAUGUAAUUCACCGAACAGAUAGUUCCAAAGUGGAAUUGCGAAAAACGCUUUAAACUGUAUUGGAUCCGUCAUACGUGACAACAUUGGACGUUAUUAUAAGCAAAUGCUUGACAGAAAAUAGGAUGCUACAGGUGUUACCUUACUUUACAAGGAUGGUAGCGACUGUAGAUCGCGCACUGUGUUAGUGCUUGGUAAACGCGCGUCUUUUUCGUUGAAGUAAUUUGUCAUCGGUAUGUUUGAGCUUUAUUAGUGUACUCAUUAGGUAGAGGUUGAUGGUUUUUAGAUAUAACCGUGGGUAUGGUACCGCCUAAACGGAAAGCAAUUUUACAGGAACAUUUUGUGAACUGUUUACGGACAAUUCACCCGUUGGUUCGAGUUUUCACACUGUUAGGUCGGAAAUUCUGUUCAGGAAUGCUUUUUUUCAUUGGAUUGGUAUCUCCGCAUAAAGAGUUCAGAUCAUGGAGCUCAGAACAAAUUAUUAACACGAAACUCAAAGCAUGCUACUUGGAUUUAGAUGUUAGAACGCUUUUGUGAGUGAACAACGUUCGGUUGUAACUCUUCGCAUGAUGCGAAUAAGGCCAGCCAUAACGAUAUUUUGCUUCUCUGCGUAUUUAAAUUACUCUAAAAGCAAGCGUUAAAUUUGGCUUUAUGACCAAUCUACUAUCGAAAAUGCCUAAAUGAACUAAUUACGUUGCUUAAUGCUCUAAGUUGAGAUGUGGAUGUAAUUAAUAAAUUGAGUUGAACGUUAUAAAGGACCGAAAAUUGAUUGAACUUUUAUCCGUCAAAAUCGCAAACUAUUAAAUGGUAUGCAAUCACUUUGAGAAGGGAGCUGAAUUAAAAUCCAAAGCGAGGCUGUUUCCUCAGGCGAACCUCAAUAGUUGCAAGUUAUUACCCAGGCUUACCUCGAACGUUCCGGGGAAAGACGUUCAAUCUUUUCGAGACAUGCAUUGAAGUGUGUCUCAGUUCCGGCUUAUCGAUAAUCUUAAAAAUUUUGAAUUGUUUCUGAUAGCUUUUGGCUGUGUGGAGCCGUGUGAAGUAUACGAUGGAGGACGACUACUGUAAAAAUAUGCUUCAAAAAAUUUCUCGCUCAGUUACUGAGAGAAGUAGUCGGCUAGAAAUUUAAAAAGCAUUGUACACGCUUGCAUGUUUUGCUUUUUUUGUUAGGGAAAGAGAAAAAUAAAUUAAUGCUUCUACUUA